CACUACUUUUGCUGGCUAGCGUGCGAUAUGCCACGUGGAUCAGAAACAAAAGAUAGCAAGAAUCAAUGAAGGAUGAAGAGCUGGAGACAGCUAGGAUAUUGAUUGCAGGCUUAAAGAGUCUACCCUGUGUGUUGUCAGAUGAUGCUGUGUGGUGAGUAGCUCUAUCACAAGUCAGUGGAGGACCAGGAGAGGAGCAUCCUAGAGAGGAAGAGGAAGAUACAGCACGCCAUUACGGGUGAGGGGGUGUGGCUACACUGACCACCCUUGAAAUAAAGACACCUCUUAUAAUCAGGCAUUAUAAUCAGGGGAAGUCCCAACUCAAUAGAAGCACAUGAAAUUAGCAGACACACUUCAAUAAACAGUUCACUUUCCAUAGUUAAAGUCUUAGAAUUUCCGCUAAUAACAUGUUUGCAGUCAUCCGUGUAUUCUCCCUAUGGUCGGACUAUCUCCACUGACUGUAUAUGCUCACCAGAAAAUGUAGUUAAGCAUUAACUAAUCGAACGGUAAUUUUCUGCACUUGCAGGGAGAGCCCCUUAAAUUAGCUAACCCUUAACUUUUUGUGCCAUGGCGAUACUUUUAUUUCAAACUCUCACUCAUGCACCAGAUCUUGUGGUGUGGGCGGGACCCUAAGGUGGUGGUCACAUGACUCAACCAUAAGCUCUUCAACAUAAUAAUGUCAUAAUUUACAUGUGACCCACAGUGACAUGUACUUUCACCAUCUCCCCACACACACACCCACGCACACCCACGCACAUGCAUCCAUGCAGUGUGUGAUAGGGCAUGCCUGACAGAGUGUGGUGGUCUGGGGGCUGACAGCUGUAAGGAGUGUGCCCUGGGAUAUGAGGAGGUGGAGGGAUCUUGUACAGAUAUUGAUGAGUGUAGAGAAGAUGACUCCAUCUGGGGUACCUACUGUCUCAACACCCCGGGGAAACAUCGCUGUCAGGGUGUUAUAUUAUAAUAAUAUAAUACACGCUAAGAAUACGCGCAAAGGACAUAAUUAUACGGCAGUGCUUGUGGGAGGGACAAUUGAUGUUCGUGAGUUGUUUGAUUUGAGGGCAAGCUUUUGUUAAUGUUCAUAAUUAGGAGGGGACCAAUUUUAAGUUUAUUUCGAUUGUAUAGGGAAUACAUAGGUUGUUCAGUUUCUUUGGUGGAUCUCCAUUGCUACGUACGGAUUGUACUUAAAAAAAUAUCGGAAUAAUACACGCUAAGAAUAUCACGCUAAGAAUACGCGCAAAGGACAUAUACAGCAGUGCUUGUGGGAGGGACAAUUGAUGUUUGUAAGUUGUUUGAUUUCAGGGCAGGCUAAAUAUUAAUAUUCAUAAUUAGAAGGGGACCAAUUUUAAGUUUAAUUAUAAAUUGUUUCGAUGGAAUACAUAGGUUGUGCAGUUUCUUUGGUGGAUCUCUCUAUUCCUACGUAUGGAUUGUGCUUGUAAGUAUUAGGUUAUGGGUACUUUUUAUUGCGGAAUAUCGUUUGACGGGAAGUUGAUUACACUGACUGGAAUAGAUGUAACGUACUCUGUUAUACGAUAGGUGCUUUUUAUUGCCGAGCUUAGACUGGUUGCUUAAAUUUAGCUGUCUCUUGGACUGGUUGUUUCUCGGGAUCGUGGAGAGAUAUAAAAUGGAAUCUUCAAUUUCUCCCUAAAAAUAAGGCAGGCCAUGUGCUAUAUUGUUAUUAUUAUUAUUAUUAUUAUUUUGAUACUAAUUCCAAUGUGGUCUACACAUCAUUACAUGCAUUAACUGUCGUUAACUCACCCACAUUAUCAGUUUGUAAUUCGGUGAUAGACCAUAUCAUUUCAAGCUCGUUGUUAAUUUUUGUCUCUAACACUUUGUGUUGUCAUGACUUUAUCCCUGAUGUCACAUUGUCUUCCACAUUAUUUUUGAUCAUCCUUAUAAUUAGCAUGCAAAACCUAGAGCUAUUUCUAUCUCUCAUGUUAACUAAGGCAAACUACAGCAUUCGUUGUACAGUCAUGAUUACUUUCACCCCCCUCGUCAUAAUUAUGUUAUGCUCCACAUUUGUGAUAUCAUUCCAUCUCUCAUACUCUCCUUGGGUGACAUUCUUCGAUGCUAUCGCUCAACUGAUGUCAGGCCAGAAACUACCGGAUUCAUCUCAAAUUUCAACUUUCAACUGAUAUGACUAUAAUUAUGUAAUUGCCCUCUCCUUAUGAUGUUGCAAAAGCCUCCUCCAGAUGUAAGACCUCCGCUAUAUCAUUCAGUGCACGUGGGAUAAAUCUCAAUUGCAGCCCUGACCCCUCCCACCUAUGGCCACUAAUACUUCUCAACGCAUACUGGGACAUUUUAUGAACUUGAUGCUAGUGAAAGUACACACAACUUACCACCGGACCUCGAUCGCUCUCCGAUGUAAAGCAGAUCGAAGCCUACCGUAUAGGGAAAAAUUUCGAGUGGCUUAAUUUUCGCUAUCUCCUGAUGUCUCGAUCGUCACUAAUACUGUGGGAAGUCUCAAAUCUUUGACACCACCACAAUAUGGAUAUGUCGAUCAUUUCGCUGGAUAAACAAUUUCGCUGGAUAAACAUAAUUUUAAAUCACCUCCCCUGAUGAUUGAAGCGAAGACAACUUGAACUCGUGAGCACGGCAACACCUAAUACUGGGUCACCUCCCCUGAUGAUUGAAGCGAAGACAACUUGAACUCGUGAGCACGGCAACACCUAAUACUGGGUCACCUCCCCUGAUGAUUGAAGCGAAGACAACUUGAACUCGUGAGCACGGCAACACCUAAUACUGGGUCACCUCCCUGAUGAUUGAAGCAAAGACAACUUGAACUCGUGAGCACGGCAACACCUAAUACUGGGUCACCUCCCCUAGCUGAUGAUUGAAGCGAAGACAACUUGAACUCGUGAGCACGGCAACACCUAAUACUGGGUCACCUCCCCUGAUGAUUGAAGCGAAGACAACUUGAACUCGUGAGCACGGCAACACCUACUGACUCAGCAUCUCACCAUCUCAAUUGCCAUGUCCAUUAUUAUUCUAAUUAUAGUAUUAUGGGGUCACUACCCAUUUUUUACUAUUUUAAGUUAUAGUAGUGUGGUCUGCCAUUAAAGUAAAAUGAUUUGAUAAUAGUGCUUGUACUGAAAACUACCUCUGAGAUGUGUUAACGGUCUUGUUGUCCUGGUAACCUCUGAGAUGUGUUAUUAAACGGUCUUUGUUGUCCUGGAAACCUCUGAGAUAUGUUAACGGUAUUGUUGUCCUGGAAACCUCUUAUGAGCGUUGUUAGCUGCAUGAUGGUCUUAUUGUCCUCUUGUAUCUCGAUCUGCAUGAGAUGUGUUAACUGGUCUUUUUGUCCUGGAAACCUGAGAUGUCUUGUGACUACUGUGGAUUGAACAUUGUCGUUGAACAAUAGUAGUAGCUAGUUUGAACUUUAAUUAUUUCGAGGUCCCCUCAAAAGCCUAGGCAAAAAGAAGGGAAAAAAAGAUUCCCCAAAAAAAGAUUUUGAUAGUAAUUGCCUGCCCUCUCGUAAUUUUCGUGUUUGUGUUUGUUGCUUGAUUUUUAGUUGUUUGAUGUUAAAUUUUAUAAUGUUGUAGUAUGGGGCUCCCUGGCGAGUUUGGAUUUAGUUCUUCUGCUUCAAUCUGGUAAUCUUGCCUUGUACUUUGGGGAGUGGGCCGAUCCUUGAUGGUGUGUGUCGUAGAUUUAUCAGUAGUAAUAGCAUCGCACAUAGCUAGUGGCUUAUUGGUAGUAGUCGUUGUCGGGGUGUUUGUUGCCAUCGAUCCACUAAUACGAGUAGUCCCUUAAAGAGUUUAUGUUGGUGGAAAGCCGUGGAGGCAUGCACGGGACUAAACUUACUACCUCUCGUAUUACUCGUAGUAGCUCCCUCUGCAAGAAAAUAAAAUAUUGUGAUAAAUAAUCGUUAACAUGAGUAACAAAAUGUUAUAUAGCGAUGAAUUAUCGAUCAUGUCUGUAAUAAACUUACGUUAGUUUCGAGAAGCCGCUCUACUGUUGUUAUAAUUAUGUCCCUGCCCUCCCGAACACGCGGCCGUACCUAAGUCCGUACCUCCUUGAUCUUCUAUGUCCGUGGGAUAUUUGGUAGAUCGUAGCCAAAUUGCAUAGUCUAAGUUUCGGAGUUGAUUUUCAACAAACUUUAUGUUGGGGCUGGGUACGAGGGCGUCUGUAAAUUGAAGAAUCAUAGAUAAAAAGAUCACGGAUAAAAAAAGGCUCGGAAGUUGAUCAGUCCUUAACCACAUACAAUUAAAGGAGUGGGCUGUCAAGCAUAACAAACUAGCAAAUACGGCUUUACAUGGAUGCCAACUGCAUGCAGUCGUUACUGACAUCAUAGGUAAUGGUCGUGAUUAUGUUGAAAUUAUGAGCUCCAGAACCACACCCACAUUACCUGUCUUACAAGACAAGCAUCCAGAAAUUCCUGGGAGAAAAUACAUUAUUAGUAAACACCCAAUGACAAAAAUUGUAUGUGCAUGUUAUAAUACUGUUCAAGAUUCUAUAGCCAGGUUUCCUGGUAAUGAUCGUCAAUUUUGUAAUCGAUUAAUGAAAAUAGUUAGCCUUGAGACUGUUGAAAUUAUGAGCUCCAGAACCACACCCACAUUACCCGUUUUACAAGCAUCCAGAAAUGUAUGUCUGGGAGAAAAUACAUUAUUAGUAAAAGAUGGAAUGACAAAAAUUGUAUAUAUUCGAGAUUCUAUACAUGUAGCCAGGUUUCCUGGUAAUGAUCGUCAAUUUCAAUUUUGUAAUUAAAAUAGUUAGCCUUGAUACCUAGACAUAAGUUGGCCUGACCACUCUAAGCUUGCUUACAUACAAUGUCUUGAAAUUAACUGGAUUUGUCGUUGUAUCUAGCUAUAGCAACCAUCACGUGACUCUUUGCAAAAAGAAAAAUGGCAAGUGGGAAAUUCAAAAUGUUGUCUACGCAUAUACGCCAGCAGUGCAACGCUUGCAGCCAUGCAAUUAGUCGGUGUAAUGGAAAUGGCAUUAUAAUAUCUGCCAUGAAAGUCAAAACUUACUAUGAACUUCCUUCAAGUGCUUUAUGAAGACUGCGUGGCGGUUCGAAAGGAAUGAUCCUUGGUAUCAAUUGGAUCUUUCCAUGUAAACUUCAUCUGUAUGGAAUGAAAUACAAGCUUUAUCAUAGCGACACAAUUUCGUACGCAUGCACAUGACAUAAAAUAGCUAUAAAUCGACUUAGACUGCGUGCUAAGUUUAAUUUUGCGCUUCUUAUGAUCACGGGAGCUCCAGGCUGUAUAUAACAUCGUGGGCACACCAAUUCCUCAGUACUGCCACUUCUUUUCAUAAUAAUAUUGAAAUACGCUCACAAUCAUUUUGUGGGUGUGCCGCUGUACACAGAAUAAUGUAUGUUUCCAUCCUGCUAUCUGCAAUCAGACAAUCAAUGCACAGAACUGAAGAAGAAGCUGGCUCUCUGCAAGUCACUCAGAUUUGCAAGUACUUGGACAUUACAGCUUGAGGGUCACCACGUACAUGUACGUAUAGUAAUGAUCUGAAUGGGGCCAGCAAUCAUCAUGGCCAUAUACUCACCAUGACAACAAUACGGUACAGGGAGCCUAUAAAUGAUAUUUCAGUGGGUGCUGUGCUGGUACUAGCAUAAGUUAUAAUAGGGAAUGUCCUGUAAGAUUUAUAUAGAAGGUGCUAUUUCAGAAUCCACAUUUAAUGGGUGAUUGUCUUUCCAAGUUUUUGUUGAUGGGUUGAACAUGUCUGUGCAUGCCUACUUGAAAAGCACUGUACACGUAUAGGAUUAGGGUGGGCUGUAGAGUAAGAUUUGAUGAUAACUGAUGACCUUGUUAGAGCACUGACUGCAAGCACGUCAAUAGUACAUGCAAGUACUGUACACGCUAUAGUGGUACAUAAUUAUUGUCUAGCUCCUAAGUUAGUUUUGCCGAAAGGUUCAUUAGGUGGUUGUGACGUAGGUUGGAAGAAACGCCUAUACUACAGUUUUAAGUGGAGUUGCGUACUCUUCCUAAUGAACUCUUGGUUUUGUGUAUGGUACCACCUAAAUUUCCUACCAAGUUGUUGCUUGAUUGCUAUGGCUAUACAUGUACUGCUUGUUCACUUCUUGAGUAGAUCAAGUUGCUAGUCUGCAUAUAUAGUGUACGUGCUAUACCAAGUUAUAUUGCUCAUUCCUUACAAUAAUGAUUGUGUACCAACCUACUAUACCAACCUCUUGAGUCAAGUGCCUGUGGGUAGUAACUUAAUUAUAUGCCUCAAGCUAGGUGUAGCAACACAGGGGAAGUUCAUACUUAGAAGAGAACACUUCAGAGGCCUAUAAACUUUGUCCUGCAUGUUUAUAGGUUCAGGAGCUGGGAAUUAUGAAGCUAGUUGUAUAAUUUUUGUUGAAGCUAUAAUUAUGCAGGUCAUACAUAAUUAUAUGCAUUAUGGUGCUUUGCAAAUAGGUAUGGUGGCUAGCUGUUUAACCUGACCUGCUGUGCAGAUAUGAGAUUCAAAUUAUGAGUAAACUAUACAAGUACUUGUACAGCAAUUACAAGUACUUACAAUGUCAUGUACGUACUUGCUUACCCAUAAUUAGGAAAACGAUCCUCUGCUUACGGGAGGUAACUUGUACAAAGACUGAGAGAAGGAGUGAUCAGCAGCAAUACUCUGAUAAGUACAUACAGCGUACGUGUAUGAUCAUAAUGUGUGCAGGAAGACUGGAGUGACUGAUCAACAGCUCGAUCAAGAAAUCCCCAACAGUGACAUCUACUGUGUAGCUGAACACAUUGAGGACAUCUACUGUGUAGCUGAACACAUUGAGAUGACACCUGGCCUGCUUGAAAGACUCGAACUCACUACUGCUGAAAAAGCGAUGCUACUCGAAAGAGAAAGUACGAAGGCAAUCAAACAGGAGUGGGUCAUGCAUUGAGAGUGUAGCAAAGAGGAGACACUGCUACACACAUUUGUAGAUUCAUUGCAGAACUGAACAAAACUGAAAUAAUUACUUUAACGUUUUGUUUUAUUGAUGCUGUUUUAUGUGUCUGCUUAUAAUUAUUGUGAUGGAA
This is a long non-coding RNA of Halichondria panicea, 6962 nucleotides long. RefSeq lists it as uncharacterized. NCBI's taxonomy places the organism in Eukaryota, Metazoa, Porifera, Demospongiae, Suberitida, Halichondriidae. The transcript is spliced from 5 exons. The record is from RefSeq and is a predicted model, not a curated record.